GCGUGGAUGAGGUGUGGGUGAGGAGGGCUGUGUGUCAGCCCAGCGCUGCUCGGGACGGCUCCGCCGUUGCUGGGGAAACUCGAGGAAAGGGCGUUGGGGAAUGCGGCGGUGCGGGGCUGCGUCUCCUGUGCGGGGCCGGCAGCACGGCUGGGAGCGGCAGGGGUGGCAGCGUCAGAUGUCAGUUUGGAGUGGGCACGGCCGUGAGGACAUCGCGGCGGGAUGGUUGGGACGCACUGGGUAACUCACAGCCACGGCACCGCACGGUGCCAACCCCCACGCGUCCCCACGCUGCCGUCCCUGUACGGACAGACAGAUGUGCGUCCGUGCACGGCGCUCCCGCUGCCCCGGGAAGCUGCCGUCGGAACGCAGUACCGGUUUGAGCGGCGGCCACGGGCACCGGCGUUGCCCCAGUCCUGCCCGGCUCUCGGCGGGCAGCGGGAGGUGACAAAGAGAGCUCGGGAUGGGCGAUGCUGACCCCUCGUGGCACAGCUUCCGAGUGCACUGAGGAUGAUGGAUGGUUGGGGACGCGGGGUGGCACGGCCACCUCCCGCAGGUCCCACGUCGCAGGGUGCUCGGAGGAGCUGCCGCUGCGUGUGGCUGCGGCCGGGGCUGGUUGGGAACGCGACGGACACGGAGGGGUUCGCGGUGUCCCCAGUUGUCCCCAGCUGCUGCCAGGCACCAGCACAGCACAGACACUGGACCGACAGAUCUAAACGAGGAGCUCCAAACCCCGCCUGCAUCCCAUCGGCAAGGCUCUAGCCGUCCCACACAGCUCCCAGCAACAAUUUUAGCACUGUUCUCACUUUAGCAACACAGCCACCGCAGCUGGGAUCCUGGCGAGGUGUGAAAAGCACUGAAAAGUC
Long non-coding RNA from Tympanuchus pallidicinctus (lesser prairie-chicken), 863 nucleotides. RefSeq lists it as uncharacterized. The transcript has 2 exons. Lineage: Eukaryota; Metazoa; Chordata; Aves; Galliformes; Phasianidae. The record is from RefSeq and is a predicted model, not a curated record.